CUCCCGCCUCGGGGGGCUCCGAGCUGCUCAUCUUUCCCCUCAUUUGCCCCGAGUUCUUAGGGAAGGGGUGGGGGAGAGAAGGACGUUGGGAGUCUGUCCCCGGCAGCAUCGAUGAGGACCGUCCCCCCUCCUCCGUCUGCAGAAGAAGCUGCUGUCACUGAGGAGAACUUUCAAGCUGCCUGUGACUGAAAAGAUGUGCAAUAUGAUUUGCUGCAUAUGUUCUUCUAUAGAAACAUGCCGGAUCCAAUGGCUUUCUGCCCACUUUCUCCUCUGGGAAUGUCUUCUUCUAUGGAAUAUUCAGGAACCCAGCUUACUAUGUGCUCCUUAGGGUCCUUACCCAGGUGUUUGAAUGCGUGUCUAUUGGAAUACAUGCUCAGUAUACCAAAACAAAAGGAAGUUCUUCAAAUUCAAUAAUAUACUAAGAACAUGGGUAAAACCAAUAAAAAUGCAGUGUGUUGCAUUUAAAAAAAGCAACUGUGCUAAAAUCAAGAUUUUUGGUUCUCUGCAUUAAAAUGAAACAUUUGUGUUGUUUUUUAGGCACAAGUGUGCAUCAGAUGUUGAGGUUGCUUGUUAUUUGUUGUAUAAAACUUUUUGUGUUUCAAGUUUAGUGGAUCAAGCUGGAUCAAGCUGUGCCCUUACUGUCCUCAAUGUAUAUGCUCUAUAAUCAUAUCUCUGUUUCCAAUAACCAUAGGUUCACAAAGCAAUUCUUGCAGUAAUCAUAUUUCAAUGGAAAAAUAAAAAAAAAUCAGUUAUUUAGCAUCUUUGUGUUUGACUGACAAUAGCUACUUCGAGAAUAGUGAUGUGCGUGAUGACAAAAAGUCAGCCUGCACCAGACCUGAAUCCAACCGGACAAGUCUCAUCUAUUCAUAGACCUGCUCAUUUCUGAAAUCACGAAAAAGGGUGGGCAGGUGCGCCUCAAAAUAAAGGCUGCAGGAGAGUGAAGGAAGAGCUCAACCAUAACCUGCCCACGACCCAGAAAUAACGUGCUGAAGUCAGCCUGAAUCUGCCCAACCCACGGCCCACACAUCACACUUUAAGGGGGAAAUUCAUUAGCCACUUCGCCCUGGUCCAUCACAGACAAUUUCAUGCAAUCCUUUCCAACAAAGGGAAGCUUUAAGGGAACUGAAUCAGUCCCUACAGCCCUCUGUGGUGUUCCAUUCACUGCCAUAGUGCUAAUUUAUAUGUGUAAAUGAUGUUUUUUUUAUCAAACAACCCAGGGCUGAAGUCCGCAGCAGCAUGUUCCCAUGGGAACAAGUACAUCAUACUUUUUUCCUUAAGUUUUCAUUUAAUUUCUUUAAUAAACAUUUUGUAUCUCACUGAUUUUGAGUUCAAGGUUUCAUGUUUCAAAAAACAAUUGCAAAUAAAUCCCGGACCAUAUUUACUGUUAGAGUGGGCAACACAAGGCAGAAUAAAUGCCAUAUAAAAAGUGCUGGCACUUGUCCCAUUUGAGUGUAGUAUCAGUAUACUGUACUUGUUGUGUCUAUUGCUUUGAUUCAGGUAAAAAGUGAAGCGUGUUAUUGACUAGGAGUUAGUCCAGGCUCUUAUUUAAUACCUUUCAUCUGUGUGCUCUCUUUCUUUGUUCCUGCAAAAUGUGUAGUUUAUAAACAUUAUGUGCCUGUAUUUAAGCAUAGCUUGUGCCUAAUGGUUUGUGUAAUAAUUUUUGAGCUGCUUGCAGGGAUUGCAGUUGUUUUCAUUUUUCCACAUUUAGUCAGGUUUUGGAGUAUAAAUCUAUAUUAUUUGCGUGUGAGUUGUGGUGUAUACAGCAUUUGAUGUUCAUGGGGUCAGUUUCUCUGAUCUACUGGCUUUCACUUCCUCAAUGUGUGUGAGCUGACUCACACACACACACACACAAAAACCCA
This is a long non-coding RNA of Xenopus laevis (African clawed frog), 1859 nucleotides long. RefSeq lists it as uncharacterized. The transcript has 3 exons. Lineage: Eukaryota; Metazoa; Chordata; Amphibia; Anura; Pipidae. The record is from RefSeq and is a predicted model, not a curated record.